Molecule: ribosomal RNA, 493 nt
Filed under: uncultured bacterium
Lineage: Bacteria
Description: bacterial SSU rRNA
Rfam family: Bacterial small subunit ribosomal RNA
Source: RNAcentral
GAUGAACGCUAGCGGCAGGCCUAAUACAUGCAAGUCAAGGGGCCAGCAAUGGCACCGGCGCACGGGUGCGUAACACGUACACAACAUACCUUUAAGUGGGAGAUAGCAUCGGGAAACUGGUGGUAAUACCCCAUAAUAUUGCGAUGCGGCAUCACAUUGCAAUUAAAGUUUCGACGCUUAAAAGAUUGGUGUGCGUCCGAUUAGCUAGUUGGCGGGGUAACGGCCCACCAAGGCUACGAUCGGUAGGGGGUGUGAGAGCAUGACCCCCCACAUGGGUACUGAGACACGGACCCAACUCCUACGGGAGGCAGCAGUAAGGAAUAUUGGACAAUGGACGAAAGUCUGAUCCAGCCAUGCCGCGUGCAGGAUGAAGGCGCUCAGCGUUGUAAACUGCUUUUGGAUGGGAAUAAUAACCUCGACGUGUCGGGGCUUGAAGGUACCAUCAGAAUAAGCACCGGCUAACUCCGUGCCAGCAGCCGCGGUAAAGUCGAUA